Molecule: long non-coding RNA, 737 nt
Organism: Mytilus californianus (California mussel)
Lineage: Eukaryota; Metazoa; Mollusca; Bivalvia; Mytilida; Mytilidae
Exons: 2
Source: RefSeq, a predicted model, not a curated record
UGGUCUUAUUAUUUCCACUCACAUUUUUCUAAAUAUCCUAUAAACUUUUCAUUAUAAAUAUAUGUCUGUUUAAAUAUUAUUAUAUGCAAUACUACUGUGCAGGACUGACUUUUAAAUGGAACCAUUCAUUGUUAUAAUUAAUGACUUUGUGCCAAUAAAUAUUUUGUAUUUAAAGAAAAGUAUUUUGCUUCUCGUCUGUACAUUAUUAUAAACAAUGUAAACAUUAAUUUUAAUUGGAACCGAAACAUGUAAAAACGAGAACUUCCCGGAAUAUCAGACCGUAUCCGGAUUCGUGUUUCUUUUAGAGUAAUUGUAACAUUUCCGCAAGGUUGCAUUGGAAAUUUGAAAGACGCCGAAGGUCGAUUAAUAUUUACUUUAUAGAUGCAAGACGAGUGACAGCAAGUUUGAGGAAUGAAGAGCAAAAAGAUAUAGCAGUCUUUAUAUAAAAUAGUUCAGGGAUCCAGUUGGAAAGAAGACCUUUUCAGUUAAAAGUAUUUCCUGGGAAUUAACAGGAACUUCUAUAAAUGUUUUUCUGGAAUAGUUAUUCAAAAGGGCAGUGAAGUGAAGGAUUACAUUAGACAAAUAUUGCUGAAGUGGUAAAAUAAGACCCAAGAGAUGUACAAAAUUUCUACAAUACAUGUUACAGCUGACUUUAGCUACUUAAUCACAUUGACAUUUGUGUGUUUUUAUGUUUUCUUUACAUAAUUACUACAGUUCUAUUAAAAUUAAUAUUUUUA